Molecule: non-coding RNA, 73 nt
Organism: Trichonephila clavata
Lineage: Eukaryota; Metazoa; Arthropoda; Arachnida; Araneae; Nephilidae
Source: the annotation of a GenBank genome assembly
GUCUCAGUAGCGCAAUGAUUAGCACGUUGGACUUCUAAUCCAAAGGCCGUGGGUUCCCAUCCUGCCUGGGAUG